Osmerus eperlanus (European smelt) is the source of this 110-nucleotide small nuclear RNA. The record is from RefSeq and is a predicted model, not a curated record. Lineage: Eukaryota; Metazoa; Chordata; Actinopteri; Osmeriformes; Osmeridae.
GUGCUAGCUUUAGCAGCACAUAUACUAAAAUUGGAACGACACAGAGAAGAUUAGCAUGGCGCUAAAUUCGAGAAGCGUUCCUCAUAAUAAAAAAGAUGUUAUGCAUUUUU